UACGGAGGGUGCAAGCGUUAUCCGGAUUCACUGGGUUUAAAGGGUGCGUAGGUGGGUCUGUAAGUCCGUGGUGAAAUCUCCAAGCUUAACUUGGAAACUGCCAUGGAUACUAUAGGUCUUGAAUACCGUGGAGGUGAGCGGAAUAUGUCAUGUAGCGGUGAAAUGCUUAGAUAUGACAUAGAACACCAAUUGCGAAGGCAGCUCACUACACGAAUAUUGACACUGAGGCACGAAAGCGUGGGGAUCAAACAGGA
Molecule: ribosomal RNA, 254 nt
Filed under: uncultured bacterium
Lineage: Bacteria
Description: partial 16S ribosomal RNA
Rfam family: Bacterial small subunit ribosomal RNA
Source: RNAcentral